Molecule: non-coding RNA, 74 nt
Organism: Spinacia oleracea (spinach)
Lineage: Eukaryota; Viridiplantae; Streptophyta; Magnoliopsida; Caryophyllales; Amaranthaceae
Source: Rfam
GGCCCAUUAGCUCAGUUGGUUAGAGCGUGGUGCUAAUAACGCCAAGGUCGCAGGUUCGACCCCUGCAUGGGCCA